This is a long non-coding RNA of Vicia villosa (hairy vetch), 7131 nucleotides long. RefSeq lists it as uncharacterized. The record is from RefSeq and is a predicted model, not a curated record. The transcript is spliced from 8 exons. NCBI's taxonomy places the organism in Eukaryota, Viridiplantae, Streptophyta, Magnoliopsida, Fabales, Fabaceae.
UUUUAUUUCAUUGCUACUAGCUUGUAAAAUUACAUCAACAGAAAGAAGAAUCUAACUCCUGCAAUCGUGUUGUUUCUAGCCGCCACAAGCUCUCUAAGGUGUCUUCAAUCAUUAACAUCCUCUUCAUUUUGAAAAUUAGUGUCUGGAAGUUGUAUACAAGAUAGAAUAAACAAUAGGAGGUUAGUGGGUUAGGAAGAUAGAGAUCACAUAGCUGGAACUGAAGAUAUGGGGUCACAUGCUGGAACAAUCAGAAGUUAACUACGUCUCGCAGUUUUAAGUUGAAUCCCCCUUGUAAGAGAGGUUGCUCUCAUGGCUGCAAAACAAACAGAGUGAAAGGGAUGAGGAUCUCACAACCCUUCGUGUCGAACUUCAGAACCUAAAAGAUGACGCUGCACUAGCCGAGGAACAACGACAAGAAGCUGAAGCAAAGGCUCUUCGAACAAUGGCAGAGAGAAUGAUUUUGACCCAAGAAGAAAUGUGCCAUGUACAAUUAUUUCAUAUACUUUUGUGAUUUUGAGAAGAAACUGUGGUUAGUUUUAGUAAUUUUGGACAUCAUGUUUAAGAAUACUGGAAUCACCUUUUCAAACUUUCGAUGAACUCAUGACAAUAUGCAAAUAAUUGCUAGUAUAGCUCUGCACUUUGUUAACGGUAGUGACGAGGAACUGACGAGGUUAUUCAAAGAUAGUAGUAAUAUGAUUAGAGGGGGCGUUUUGAAUGUUUUAGCAAAGUUCAGUAAACACUACGUUGAGAAGGAAGUCAGUGACAAGUUAUGUUUAGCAUGAUCUAGCUUCAAUAACAAAGGAUUUACGAGGAUUGUUCUUACACUGAAUUUUGCCUUUUCCUUUGUGCGUGCGACUUUUUCAAGGUUAUCAUUAGGCCUCUUUCCGACUAUGCGCCUCGUCUUUCACGAAGCUAAGUCCCGACUUUAUCCUUUUUCAUUUUUAUCAUUUAAAUAUUUAUUUGCAUGAUAAAAUUAUUAUUAGGGUUAAACCCUCGAAAGUCAAUGAACUCUUUUGCACUCACGUAUCUUGCCUGUUUUGCCCAUUUUGCAGGGUUAACCUCGAGGCUACCUCCGACUACGAACCAUAUCAGAUCAAAUUAAAAGCUAAGUCCUAUUUCGUAUUUAUUUUAAAUAAUCAUUCUAUUUUAAUUUUGUUUUUUUUUAUCAAAUUAGGGUUAAAAUUUGAUUGCCAUUGAAUUAGCCAUACACUCACAGCUUGCUUCUUCUGUCAAUUCUCAGAUGGUCAGAGUCAAGGAAAAUCUUUGCCCAUCAACCUUCAUAAAUCGAAGCUAAGUGUUUUUACCCUUCUUCUUUUAUCAUUAUUUUUUAUUGAUUAGGGUUAACCGUAUCUAACUUUUGAAUUGAUAAUGCACUCACCCUACUUUCACUUGCUAUUUUUCCCACCUUUUCAGGGUUUGUCAAUCGCCAAGGCUAUGAAUAAUUGGUAACCCUAAAACUCAAAUCCUAAUUAUUACUUGUCUCAAACCUAUUAAUCUUAUCCCGCUGGUUUCAAUUCCCCUUUCCCCCGCUGGUUUCAAUUUCCCUCUCCCGUUAUUGCUUUAAUUAUUAAUUGUCGUGGUUAGUAAUUUUAGGGAGUGAUAACUUUGAAUUGAAUCUAGAAUAACUAAUUACAAGAUAGAUAUCUGAAUUGAAUCACGUGAUUGUUGCACCCACGCACGCUUUUGGGGUAACCUCUCUGUUGCCUGUUGCCUUGUUGCCUUGUGUUUUUUUUUUGCAGGAUAGCCAUGUCCCUCGAAUACGAGGAUACCUCAGCCAUGCUGCCUCGAUAAAUAAAGGUCAUACGACCCUAAUGAUGCUGCCUUCGAUACACUGAUAUGACCUCGACCCUCGGAAGUUGCCUACGAAAAAGGCUGAGGUAUUCUCUGGUUGCCUACGAAAAGGCUAUUCUGGUCUUUCCCUUAGACUACCUGCCUCUCUAUGGCAUGGGUCAGUCUUGUGGCGAACGACAAUGCGAUGACCCUUCAAUCUCCAAAUGAAAGGCUUCCUGCCCUCUUAUGGCAAGGAUAGACCCUCUCACCCUGAAAGGCUAAAAGAACCUCUUUUUCAAAUAUUAAGGUAAUUGCCCCUAAUUGCUUUGCCUUGCUCUAAAACCUUUUUCUAUAUUCUUUCUCAUAAUUCUUCAAAAUGGCUACGCUCAUUUACGAGCUAAAGUCCACAUCUUUUUCUUCUACAUUUCUGAAAACAAAGAGCAAAGCAAUUAAGAGCCCAUGGAAAACCAUGGAUGCAAAGGGUGCCUUACACCUUCCCUUUGCAUAAUUACCCCCCGAACCCUGUUUUCUUUUAAAAGGUUUUUCCUGUUCUUUUAGCCUUUCCUAAAAUUGGAGAAAAUACAAGUCGGUGGCGACUCUUGCUUAACCGCGACAUUUCGAUAUAAAAGUCAGUUCACCGUAUUACAAUAAUGUAUGGAGAUUGGAAAAUAAAUUGCAUAUCCAUUCCUUGAAUAGUUUGACUACAAAAAUAAAGACUGAGUACGAAGCGCAAAAAUAGUACAAGGUUCAAAUGAAUUAGUCAAAAUCCUCAGGAAGGUUAUCUUUCAUCUUGGAAUAUUGGGAUUCCCAUAGAGACAGACGGCGUGCGAUUAAUGCCUGUUGUUUUUUCAGCUCUUCGAUUUCUGGCACUAAUUUAUGUGCCGUCUCGAAAUGUCGAAUUCCCAAUUGCGUCACUUCAGUUAAUUCUUUUUGUUGGGUUCGUUUGAUUGUCUCCUGGCGAGACCUGGCAGUCUUUAUCUUUUUUCGAGGCGUUUGAUCUCUUGUUUCCAGGAUUCGAUAUCUGCUUCACAAGUCUCGUGUUCCUCUUGGUUUUUUGUACGCUCAAGCUCAAGAGCCUUAGCUUUCUUUGUUGCAUCACCAGCAGCCUUCCAUGAAGAACCAUGAGAGUUUAUUUUCGCUUUGAGUUGUUCGUCAACAUUUCUCUUUCGAAGAAUAUCAGAUUGAAGUUGAUCGAUCAAAGAACUCAGCGAGACAAUCACUUGUGAAACUUUCUCUGAAACCAAGAGUAAAUCCACCUUCUUCAAAAGAUUGUUUAAACUAAAACAACUGGUGGAAUCCUUGCUUAGAACUUCGAUGAGGUUGGUUUCAAAGAACUUCUCCCUUAUUUGACGAAGGAGAUUAAGAAUAUUAUCCUUAUUACCACUCUCCGCCAAGACAUUAGGAGAAGUUUCAAGCCUGAUGGGUGAAGCGUUAUCAGCACUCAUCAUAGUCUCGAGGAAGCUUACAGGAUCAGUAUUCUUAAGUUGCUCUAGCUCUGCAGGAGUAAGCACUGCAGGGAUUUGCUUCGAAGUAGCAACAGGAGUAAAUAUAGUCCCGAAAGUCAAAGUUUCAUUAUUACCAGGUGUAGGCAAAUUGGAAGUCUCGUCCGCGGCCUCGUGUUCAGAGAUAGUGUCUUCGCUCCCAGCUGACUGUUCAACUAUAUUGUCACUAUUGGAACAUUGAGGAUUUUCUCCCAUGUUUUCAUCUUGGCGAGUGGGUGGAGAAUCAUCAUUUGAAUGACUUUCUUCAGCAUGCACAGUUGGAAUAAUAGUCGCAAGAGGCUGAGCGUCUUCGACAACCGGAGAAAGUACAAGGGAUUUGUGUUGAGGAACACCUGUACGAAUGAUCAGAAUUGAUUAAAAUGCAAAGGUUGCAAGAAAUUCGUUUGCCAGUAAAAGGAGCAGACACAUACCUUGAAGAUGAUCGAGAUCAAUGUUAAGACUUGAAGUUUUAAGGUCAGAAGUAGUUAUGCCCACGUCAUCCUAUAUUUGUAAGGUAAGAUGUAAGCUUAGCCACUAAAAUUAAAUAUGAAAAGUGGUCAGGUUUUGAAAUCUAGAUACCUUGGUUGGAACAUUAUCUGGGCUUGAGUUAUGGCUUUCCACAAUGGGAAUAGUACUAGCAAACUUUAAGGGCGACUCAUCAGAAGAUACCUUAUCACUUGAUGAAGUGAGCUUCGAAGCCCCAGAACCCUUUUUAGUCAAGGAAAUAGUGGUCUUUUGUCUUUUCUUCAUGGCUUGCCUGGUUCGAGGAGGAGACUUAUCUUCAUCAUCUGAAGCACUAGUAUUAGAAAUCGUUCGUUUUGGAGGUGUUGGAGGCUUCGAACUCUGAAAGUGCACAUUUAAACCAAGUGGGUAAUAUUCGAAAAAUUGCAUAAGUUAGAAUAUAAGGUAGGUACAUACCGUGGGUUUUUUGCCGGUGGUGACAGAAUCACUCCCACCUGCUUUGGUACUUUUCGAAGCUCCAGCGCUUUUCUGUGAAGAGGUUUCCUUAAUAACCCUCUUUCGAUUCACAGCUGUAAACAAAAUAGAAGUCAGUGUUUUGGUAAAAGAAAGAAAGUGAGUCGAAGGAUAAUUCAAACUCCAACCUUCAGGUAUAGGAGUCAAAACUCGAACGUGUGUCAUACCCUAAUUUUUGACCCCCCUGAGAUGACAUAUCUUCAGGAUUUUCAUCAGGUCAAAACAAGUACCCAGAGCAGUCAUUUCUUCAUCUGGCAUUCAAUCAAGGAUGUUCAAAGACAAGAAAACUCAGGCAAAGGAUCAAUCAAUAGAAGGAUUAGUCUCUAACACAAUCAUGGGACUCAAAAGCUUCACUUUUAUAUUCACCUAUGAUUGAUUAGAUACUCAGUCAUCUAAGUACAGGUUUACUCAGGUCACCAGACUAGGGUUUUUGAGCCUACCAAGGACUGAAAUCAGGGAUCACCUUUGGGAAACCCUAAAAAGCUCCAGGACAUCUAUUAAAGACUUCAAUCAUCUUCAAAUGAUCCAUACAAUAAGAUCCACUGGACAUCACACCUCAAUUCAAGAUCCACAGUCACCAAUUUCAUCUGGUCGACAAUUAGGGCUUUUAACCUAAUUCAUCUGGAUAGUUGACUUUUAAUCAGGGCAUGGAUCCAAAACUCAAGACAUGAUUCAAGAACCUCUACUACCUCAAUAUAACCCAUUUACAUCACUCAUUUGAGGAGAAGAUCUUAAUUCCACACAAAAGUCCAAAAUCUCACCUUAUUUGGAAAAAAGUCAACUGUAUGGGAUCACCUUUGACUUUUAAGAUUUUUGGUCAAACCAUGACUUUCAAAGAUCAAUAUCAUUAAUAUAUGGAUAUUAAAGUCAUUUGACCAAAGAAAUUCAAGAAGAAUCAUCAAGGAGCAAAAAGUCGGGAAUUAGGGUUUUUGAGGGUAGUGUGAGAACUCAAAUUUUCACCUACACAACUCAAAAAACUUCCAACAUGAAAGUUGUAGAUCUUGCAAAAUAAAACAACAUCUUACAAUGGAACGUUUUUCAAAAGAUCAAUCAUUUAAGAGAUUUGGAAAUUUUGAAGUUUUAGGUCAUAAACACUUAGAAAAUUUUCUAAGUGUUUUUAACCUAGUUUUCUUCCAACUUUGGCCUCAUUUUUCACAAAUUUGCCAAAGGAUUCUGAAGGAACCAUAAACUAAUGAUUUGAAGUAGAUGUUUAGGGCUUUCCAAAUUGUGUUCAACCUUCUCCAAAUUCAUUUUGAGCUAAGAGUUAUGCUUGUUCAAAGUUGGCCUCAUGAAGUGAAAUUAUAGGUCAUGUACAAUUUGAAACUUUGCAAUUUUGUGCAUUUUGCUUCACUAAGUGAUGCUACCCGACCUCUAAUGCAUCUGAAAACAUGCCAUGCAUCCAAAUUCAUCAUUGCAUAAGGAUUAGAGAAGAUUCCCAAAAACAAAGGCAUGUGAUUAUGUAAUGAUUGCAUUUUUGAAUUUAUGGCAAAUGAUUAAUCAUCAAGGAAUCUUGCUCUAAGCCAAUUAGAACUCUCCUCUGAAUCAGAAAUGUUCCCUUAGAUCAUACAAGAUCAAUGGUUGGGGAAGCUAGCCCGAAAAUGCAUCAUUGCAUUUAGGAUCUUUUCAAAUUUUCUUCAUGGCUAAGAAACCAAACUCACUUCACUAAGCAAACUCACUAUGCACAAUUACUCUGAACCAAUUGCCUAUAAAUAGAGGGCUCUUUCUCAUUCAGAAAACACACCAAAGCAACUAUAAUUCUUGCUUUCUCUCUUCUUUCUUCAUACUUAAGGUUUUCAAAGGUUCUUUGGCAAGAAGACUCGAAUUCUUCAAACCAGAGCUCUUCCUUUGGAAUUAAGUAUUCAAACACCUUAGGGGAGUCAAUUAGAGGUGAUCCAAACCUCUGAAACACUUCUGGGCGUGGAGAAUCAUCAUCUUCACCUCUCACUUGGAGCUGUUGCAGUUGGGGUCGAGCAAGAAAUUCUGGGCACUUUCAGUCCAAGCCAGGCAUCUCAACACCUUCCAAAGGAGUCAUUGAAGCUAUCUGGAACGUUACAACAGCUCUGUAACACCUUUUGAUCAGAGCCAAAUCUUCAUUUUUCAGGUAAGUUUCAAAAGCUUCAAACUCUAUGAUUCACGCAUGAUAAAUUUAAAAUGAAGUUACCAAUUGGUUUCUGCACCUUCAUAGAUCAUUAGCCCUCAAUCAAUUGCAUCAAAUCAUGCAUAUAUAGUAUUUCAUGUUUAAUUUCAGUUUUAGGGUUCUUAGUGUUCAUGCUUGCGAAUUUUAUGUUAUACUGAAAAUAAAUAAAAUUAAAGAACACCAUCAUGAUCCUCGUCCAAAAACGAGCAAAAUCCAUGUUUACAUCUUUAAGUUUGGUUGAGAAACGAAGGAGAUAGCAUUUUCAGAAAUUUGAAGCUUGAGGUUGAAGAUGAAGAUGGUGGCGCCAUUUUUUUGAAUUUCCCAGAAAUGCGUUUAUUUUAUUUUGAAUGAUGGGUGUGUUAUCUACGAAUUCAUCGUAGUGUCCCAAUGGUUACAGCGCGCGUCCAAAAGCUUUGCCUUGCCUUAGGUCUAGGGUUCGAUCCCCCCUUCAGACCUUUUAUUCAUUUAUUUUCUUUUUUAGCUCAUUCAUUGCUUUGUUCUACAUAUAAUCAUAUGGGCUCCCUUCUUAAACAAGCCACGCGCGUGGCCCAGUUGGUAUUUGUUUUGUUUGGUAAUCUAUAGGGCGUGGGUUCAAGCCUUGAAGGAGACAAACCCAAAAUUUUUAUCACUAUUUUCCUUUGUUUUAUUCACAAACUUCACAUAUUUAUUUAACCUAUCAAAUUAAUCCAUUUUCACUUCAUUUUUCACACACUUGUUAUUUAAUAUACCUAUUUUAUGAAUAAUCAAAAAAAUCAUAAAAAUAUUAUU